Molecule: ribosomal RNA, 253 nt
Filed under: uncultured bacterium
Lineage: Bacteria
Description: partial 16S ribosomal RNA
Rfam family: Bacterial small subunit ribosomal RNA
Source: RNAcentral
UACGGAGGGUGCAAGCGUUAUGCGGAUUCACUGGGUUUAAAGGGUGCGUAGGUGGGAUGGUAAGUCAGUGGUGAAAUCUCCAAGCUUAACUUGGAAACUGCCGUUGAUACUAUCAUUCUUGAAUCUCGUGGAGGUAAGCGGAAUAUGUCAUGUAGCGGUGAAAUGCUUAGAUAUGACAUAGAACACCGAUAGCGAAGGCAGCUUGCUACACGAGUAUUGACACUGAGGCACGAAAGCGUGGGGAUCAAACAGG